CGAGUGUACUUGAGCUUACACCCGUCCGGUGUGGUCCGUUCACGUGAUCAAGAAAGCAGUUCGCAAGGAGGAGGAAACAAAACAACUGAUGAAGUUUUCUCUUCCACCAUUUUUUUGACUUCGAGUGCGGAUUGGAUGGCUAGGGAAAAGUUGUACGAGAAGUGAAAAUCGUUUCAGAUAGGUGGUGAAGAAAAGCAAGACGCAAGUAAAGGCAGCACAUUUCCGAAGCGCAACAAAGUAAUCCGCUAGCAAAACAAAGUUUACUUCGAGAAGGUUCUGACAUUUGAGGUUAGGAUUGUGCAAGAACCGUUGACGGCGGCUGUCAUUACCGAUUUGUUUUGAUUUAUAGCCUUUCCAAAGGGAAAAGGUGCGUGUGAAGUGGAAAACGGGGUUACUACCGGAAAUUCUCACUUUUUUCCGUUUCUGUUAGUAAAUACGUUGAUAAAAUGAAUUCAACAAUGCUGUACUCUUUACAUAAUGCCAUUGGAAGGAAUGUUUUAAAGGGACAGCUGUAAGCAUUUAAGUUGUUCAAUACACCAGAUUGAGAAGCAACGUAUCCUACAUUCGUUGGUGAUUGGUCCCUAGAUAAAUUAUCGUUGAAUUUUGAUGCUGAAACCUUCGAUGACUUUCUGCGCUUCAACCGCCGCAACCAGGAUACGAGAUAAAUGCUUCUGUACACUGUCGUGCGGUAUUUGGCUAGA
This is a long non-coding RNA of Anopheles funestus (African malaria mosquito), 701 nucleotides long. RefSeq lists it as uncharacterized. The record is from RefSeq and is a predicted model, not a curated record. The transcript is spliced from 3 exons. NCBI's taxonomy places the organism in Eukaryota, Metazoa, Arthropoda, Insecta, Diptera, Culicidae.